Molecule: non-coding RNA, 69 nt
Organism: Podarcis lilfordi (Lilford's wall lizard)
Lineage: Eukaryota; Metazoa; Chordata; Lepidosauria; Squamata; Lacertidae
Source: the annotation of a GenBank genome assembly
GCUGUAGCUUAGAGGUAAGGCGUCUGCCUUGCAUGCAGAAGGUCCCUGGUUCAAAGCCUGGCAUCUCCA